CUACAACGCCCAUUGCUGUACAGAAAAUAAAUACUCAUGGAAGAGAUAUUUAUCGCCAUCUGCAGGAGCAAUGUAGUAGUGCAGAGUUUUAGCACCCCUGGUUAAACAGCCGACAUUGUUCAUUCUGAACAAAAUAACUCAUGUACGUUAGGUUUCACAAGCUAGCAUUCACUGUUUGCAAACCAUUUGUCCUCUACACUGUGUCCUAAAAUGUUCCUUUUUGUCUCGUUUAUACUUAUUCUUAUCUGUUCUCUCUAAAA
This is a non-coding RNA of Pelobates cultripes (western spadefoot toad), 260 nucleotides long. The record is from the annotation of a GenBank genome assembly. Lineage: Eukaryota; Metazoa; Chordata; Amphibia; Anura; Pelobatidae.